CGGUGUAAGAUAUUAUAGAGUAUAGGGAACCGAUAACUUGUUGGGAUUAUGUUGUCCACCUGCAUCUUAGAGCAAUCAAACCACUCAGGACUAAGCAAGCUGAAAUCUCCUCGAAAGCUGACUGCAGCAUUCAGUAAAAUAGCAAAGCUCCUAGGUCAUUUCUUCCUAGGCUGCAUGGCUCACCAAUUGGACAGUCCUGCUUGUUGCAGAUCUGGUUUUCUGUCACAUCACCAACGCAGUCCUUGCCUCCAAACUGGGGUGUGGGGUUGUUGCAGAGACGGCUACGUUUCUGUACCCCUCCUCCACAGGUGACAGAACAGAUGUCCCAUGGUGACCAAGGACCCCAGCCUCCAUUGACUGUAAGAUGAACCACAGGCAACAAUUAAGAUCAACUUUCAAAUCCCUUGUCAUAGACUCUCCUAAGCCCGUUCAAGAAACCUCUGCUUCUCUGACACAUGGAAAGAAUGCUGGGGAAGAGGGCGAGUUUGUUUUUCAUUAAAAGAAGUUGCUGAGCCUGCA
This 519-nucleotide non-coding RNA is filed under the name Pongo abelii (Sumatran orangutan). The record is from RNAcentral. Lineage: Eukaryota; Metazoa; Chordata; Mammalia; Primates; Hominidae.